AAACUCAAAGGAAUUGACGGGGGCCCGCACAAGCGGUGGAGCAUGUGGUUUAAUUCGACGCAACGCGAAAAACCUUACCUGGGUUUUGACAUGCCGAGUACCCGAUGGAAACAUUGGGGUGCCCCGUAAGGGGAACUUGGACACAGGUGCUGCAUGGCUGUCGUCAGCUCGUGCCGUGAGGUGUUGGGUUAAGUCCCGCAACGAGCGCAACCCUCACCCUUAGUUGCCAUCAUUAAGUUGGGCACCCUAAGGGAACUGCCGCAGUUAAUGCGGAGGAAGGUGGGGAUGACGUCAAGUCCUCAUGGCCCUUAUAUCCAGGGCUACACACGUGCUACAAUGGGCGGUACAAAGGGUCGCGAACCUGUAAGGGGGAGCUAACCCCAGAAAACCGUUCUCAGUUCGGAUUGGAGUCUGCAACCCGACUCCAUGAAGUUGGAAUCGCUAGUAAUCGCGGAUCAGAACGCCGCGGUGAAUACGUUCCCGGGCCUU
This 489-nucleotide ribosomal RNA is filed under the name uncultured Syntrophorhabdus sp. RNAcentral describes it as "bacterial SSU rRNA". It matches the Rfam family "Bacterial small subunit ribosomal RNA", at positions 897 to 1382 of the family's 1533-position model. The record is from RNAcentral. Lineage: Bacteria; Pseudomonadati; Thermodesulfobacteriota; Syntrophorhabdia; Syntrophorhabdales; Syntrophorhabdaceae.